AGCAAACUCCGACGUGGGUGAGAGAGAAUAGAGGAAAGAGAAGAAGCUGGUCGUGGCCGGCGACGCCGAGCGAUUCGCCCAUCUACGUGACUACCAGGCGUCCAGUUUGUCGAUUUGUGGGACACUUCAUCGGUGGUGAGCUCGGGAAAGACGCAGCUGGAUGGUGGAGCACCCUUCGACGAAAAGAUAAGUGGUGUGCUUGGAACCCUUGCCGCCGCUCGCCUCGCCAGGCAAAGCAAGGCAAGCUCCGAAGGGAGCGUUUGCUUUCCUUGCUGCUACUUGCCUUGCCUCCCCUGCAGCUCCAUCCAGCAGCGUCGGAGCUCGAUCCGACCAUGGUGGAGGUCAAUCCAACAGUGGCGGAGGUCGAAUCGACAACGGCUGAGGUCAAAUCGACGGUGGCGGAGGUCGAUUCGGUACAUGCAGAGUUUGAUUCAACGACGACGGAGCUUGAUUUGGUGUGCGUCUCGAUUUGACGACGGCGAAGCUUGUUGCAGCAGCUAUGGUGUCGAUUCGACGGUGGCUCGAGCAGCCCACACAAGCAAGCGAACCUUGCCCACACAUGAGAGUUGAUUUUGACUCUCCUGCAUCGGCAAGGAUCUCCUUGCCAGCCGAGCAAGCUGGCCGGGCAAAGAGGCGAGGCGAGCCUCCUGCAAGAGUACCAAGCGCGCCCAAGAUAUGUUAUUGGUGGGUCCCAUCAUAAUAAAAAAUGUUUCUUGAAAUUUGUGAAAAAGACUAAUUGUUGUAUGCAAGGUUGGUCUACUGAUGAUCUGGCUUGUCUGUAAGACAAGUUUAUUGGGCUUGCUCUAGUAACUGACGGAGCUUGUUGCUUGGAACGGAAGUGUUGGAUCCUUCGUAGCUCAAGACCUAAGCGACGGAACCACACGCACAUAACUGACGGCGCUUGUUGCUUGUCAAAAGUAAACGAGGUCCGUCAAACGAAAUAGUAUUAUGUUAGGAGAUGAUGGUUGGAUAUGCGUGCAGCCACGCUGACAGUUUCCUAACGCUAUGGAUACACGGUACGAAAAUACUAUCAUCGAGAUCCUGGACAUCAGGCGGUACUAGGCGUUGACGGAAAACACG
This 1080-nucleotide long non-coding RNA is filed under the name Setaria italica (foxtail millet). Its description in RNAcentral is "long non-coding RNA (SITA_LNC007261)". The record is from RNAcentral. Lineage: Eukaryota; Viridiplantae; Streptophyta; Magnoliopsida; Poales; Poaceae.